Molecule: ribosomal RNA, 497 nt
Filed under: uncultured bacterium
Lineage: Bacteria
Description: partial 16S ribosomal RNA
Rfam family: Bacterial small subunit ribosomal RNA
Source: RNAcentral
GAUGAACGCUGGCGGCGUGCCUAAUACAUGCAAGUCGAGCGAACAGACGAGGAGCUUGCUCCUCUGACGUUAGCGGCGGACGGGUGAGUAACACGUGGAUAACCUACCUAUAAGACUUGGAUAACUUCGGGAAACCGGAGCUAAUACCGGAUAAUAUAUUGAACCGCAUGGUUCAAUAGUGAAAGACGGUUUUGCUGUCACUUAUAGAUGGAUCCGCGCCGCAUUAGCUAGUUGGUAAGGUAACGGCUUACCAAGGCAACGAUGCGUAGCCGACCUGAGAGGAUGAUCGGCCACACUGGAACUGAGACACGGUCCAGACUCCUACGGGAGGCAGCAGUAGGGAAUCUUCCGCAAAGGGCGAAAGCCUGACGGAGCAACGCCGCGUGAGUGAUGAAGGUCUUCGGAUCGUAAAACUCUGUUAUUAGGGAAGAACAAAUGUGUAAGUAACUAUGCACGUCUUGACGGUACCUAAUCAGAAAGCCACGGCUAACUACGUG